GACGAACGCUGGCGGCGUGCUUAACACAUGCAAGUCGAACGGAAAGGCCCUGCUUGCAGGGUACUCGAGUGGCGAACGGGUGAGUAACACGUGGGUGAUCUGCCCUGCACUUCGGGAUAAGCCUGGGAAACUGGGUCUAAUACCGGAUAGGAGCCAUUUUUAGUGUGAUGGUUGGAAAGUUUUUUCGGUGUAGGAUGAGCUCGCGGCCUAUCAGCUUGUUGGUGGGGUAAUGGCCUACCAAGGCGGCGACGGGUAGCCGGCCUGAGAGGGUGGACGGCCACGGUGGGAAUGUGGUACGGCCCAGCACCCUCUGGGGGGCCGCAGGGGGGUAGAUGGCACAAUGGGCGGAGGUCUGACGUACCACCGCUGCGGGCGGGAUAAGGUCCUUCGGUGUGUAGAACGGGUUCGACGGCGAAGAAGCGGGAGGGACGGGAAUGGGUAAAGAAGCACGGGCUAAUUACGUG
RNAcentral lists this ribosomal RNA (464 nucleotides) under uncultured bacterium. RNAcentral's name for it is "partial 16S ribosomal RNA". It matches the Rfam family "Bacterial small subunit ribosomal RNA", at positions 28 to 507 of the family's 1533-position model. The record is from RNAcentral.